UCUCGGCUAACGGCUCAGUAACACGCGGAUAACCUGCCCUCGAGUGGGGGAUAAUCUCGGGAAACUGAGAAUAAUACCCCAUAGGCCCGGGAAGCUGGAAUGCUCCCAGGCUGAAAAUUCCGGUGCUCGAGGAUGGGUCUGCGGCCUAUCAGGCUGUAGUGGGUGUAACGGACCCACUAACCUUCGACGGGUACGGGCCUUGAGAGAGGUUGCCCGGAGAUGGAUUCUGAGACACGAAUCCAGGUCCUACGGGGCGCAGCAGGCGCGAAAACUUCGCAAUGUGGGAAACCACGACGAGGGAAUCCCAAGUGCCAACGAUUUUUCGUUGGCUGUUGCCCUGCCUAAAAAGCAGGGAGAGUAAGGGCUGGGUAAGACGGGUGCCAGCCGCCGCGGUAAUACCCGCGGCCCGAGUGGUGCUCGUUAUUAUUGGGUUUAAAACGUCCGUAGCCGGUCCAGUAAAUUCUUGGGUAAAUCGACCGGCCCAACCGGUCGAAUUCCGGGGAGACUGCUGGACUUGGGACCGGGGGAGGUCGGAGGUACUUCCAGGGUAGGGGUGAAAUCCUGUAAUCCUGGAGGGACCACCAGUGGCGAAGGCGUCCGACCAGAACGGCUCCGACGGUAAGGGACNNNNNNCUGGGGCG
This 641-nucleotide ribosomal RNA is filed under the name uncultured euryarchaeote. RNAcentral describes it as "bacterial SSU rRNA". It matches the Rfam family "Archaeal small subunit ribosomal RNA", at positions 76 to 719 of the family's 1478-position model. Lineage: Archaea; Methanobacteriati; Methanobacteriota. The record is from RNAcentral.